AGUUAAUUGUCACAUCAUAGGGUUGUAACUGCUUUCCUCGAGGUGCAAACACCGGGAGCUCAGAAUGUGUCAGGCUCUCACCGUCCACAGCAGGGAAGGGCAGAGACGACGAGGAACAAGGAUGCGGGUCAUUGGUGACCGGAACGCGAACGCUCCCAUUAUUUCCUUCUUCCCCGCAGUCUGUGAUCGAUCAGGGCAAGUGAGAUGCUCUGGGUUUUGCAGAUGGAGACAUGAAGGUCCCGAGAAGGUGACCUGUGCCAGUUGGCACAGCAAGCUAGGAAGAACUGGCACUGGGAUGGUGGUGGUUGUAGCUCAGACCUCACUGAGUGCAGACUCCACGCAAGGAGGAAGGGACGCCUUUUCUGUCAGCGUGAGCAUCUGGGUCAGUCAACCCUUGUCAUCCGUGGCAUGA
Molecule: long non-coding RNA, 412 nt
Filed under: Fukomys damarensis (Damara mole-rat)
Lineage: Eukaryota; Metazoa; Chordata; Mammalia; Rodentia; Bathyergidae
Description: lncRNA (ENSFDAG00000022855.1)
Source: RNAcentral